Long non-coding RNA from Oncorhynchus kisutch (coho salmon), 1000 nucleotides. RefSeq lists it as uncharacterized. The record is from RefSeq and is a predicted model, not a curated record. NCBI's taxonomy places the organism in Eukaryota, Metazoa, Chordata, Actinopteri, Salmoniformes, Salmonidae. The transcript has 6 exons.
AUGUCUGACUUCAAAAUAUAAAAACUGGUUCAAACCGGUUUCUAUCUUAUAUUUUACAUUCGGUCAUUAUUUUACAUUCACCAUUGUUGCAUUGCUAACGUGGCUAGAAGAGCUUAGUGAGAUACCCAACAACUUCCAUAAAAUAAAAAUACAAUUGGAAUUGUGUUGCAAUUCCCGAACAAUCAUCAAUAUGCCUAAAAGAAAGAGUGCUACCAAGGGCGAUGAGCCUGCAAGACGUUCCGCGCGUUUGUCAUCUAGACCUGUGCCAAAACCGGCGGCCAAACCCAAAAAGGCGGCAGCACCCAAAAAGGCAGUCAAGGGAAAGAAGGCUGCUGAGAACGGUGAUGCCAAGGCUGAGGCAAAAGUUGAGGCCGCUGGAGACGCCAAAUGAAGAACUGUUUGAAGUUGUGAUCAUUCUGUGUACUUGGUGACUGUACAGUUUAAAAUAAGUAUUUUUUACCAAGUUUUUUUUAUAUUAAAAGAUAUCAUUUAUAGUUCAUUGUGGGCUUACAUUUGAGGUAAUGAAGCUGUUCCAAGGGGUUCUCAUGUUCAUAUCCAUUUUUAUGCAUUGUUUAAAUGAAUACCGUCCAUAUCCUGUCCAAGUAUAAAAAACAAAAAAAAAUACCCUUCUAAACCUGUUUUUAACUGCUGAAUGUUAUUUUCCUACAUAAAUCCAAACAGUAAAGGCAGCUAAAGUGUGUUUCUAAAAUGUUAAGAGGAAUAGGGUUUUUGCCACUCCUUUUAAGUUUUUAAUAUUAAUUACUUACCAAAUGUUUUUAAUCAACAUCAGCUCUUCUCAUUCAGGAGACAUAAGACAGUUUGAAAGUAAUCACUAACUUGUAUUAGGUCAACACACAAAAUCACCACAUAAAAUUAAUAAUGUGAACUUAAUCAUAUGUUCUAUUGUUUAUUUUAUUAAAUUGUUCUGUAAAAACAGUGGAAAGAGCUAUUGUGACUCCUAUGAAAUUUAAAUGUUCUUGAAUAAAAUGAUUAAAAGGCA